GGUUAGCUCAGCUGGGAGAGCGUCGGCCUUACAAGCCGAGGGUCAUAGGUUCGAUCCCUGUACC
This 64-nucleotide transfer RNA is filed under the name Deltaproteobacteria bacterium HGW-Deltaproteobacteria-18. RNAcentral's name for it is "tRNA-Val". It matches the Rfam family "tRNA", at positions 5 to 66 of the family's 71-position model. From Rfam's summary of the family: Transfer RNA (tRNA) molecules are approximately 80 nucleotides in length. Their secondary structure includes four short double-helical elements and three loops (D, anti-codon, and T loops). Further hydrogen bonds mediate the characteristic L-shaped molecular structure. tRNAs have two regions of fundamental functional importance: the anti-codon, which is responsible for specific mRNA codon recognition, and the 3' end, to which the tRNAs corresponding amino acid is attached (by aminoacyl-tRNA synthetases). tRNAs cope with the degeneracy of the genetic code in two manners: having more than one tRNA (with a specific anti-codon) for a particular amino acid; and 'wobble' base-pairing, i.e. permitting non-standard base-pairing at the 3rd anti-codon position. Lineage: Bacteria; Deltaproteobacteria. The record is from RNAcentral.